This 262-nucleotide ribosomal RNA is filed under the name uncultured bacterium. RNAcentral's name for it is "partial 16S ribosomal RNA". It matches the Rfam family "Bacterial small subunit ribosomal RNA", at positions 333 to 592 of the family's 1533-position model. The record is from RNAcentral.
UAGGCCCUACGGGACGCAGCAGUGAGGAAUAUUGGUCAAUGGUCGGGAGACUGAACCAGCCAAGCCGCGUGAGGGAUGAAGGUACAGAGUAUCGUAAACCUCUUUUGUCAGGGAACAAAGGCGGGGACGUGUCCCCGGAUGAGUGUACCUGAAGAAAAAGCAUCAGCUAACUCCGUGCCAGCAGCCGCGGUAAUACGGAGGAUGCGAGCGUUAUCCGGAUUUAUUGGGUUUAAAGGGUGCGCAGGCGGUCUGUUCAGUCAGC